UUAAGAACUGGUUUUUCACUUAAUUAGCUGUUAUUAAAUAAAGGGAGUACCUCUUUUUUUUAGGAAUUUUAACGAAAAACUUAUGUUAUUGUUUAUUUUAACGAAAAAUCAUAUUUUUACAUUAAAAAAUUAUUAUGAUAUUAUUCAUUUUAACUUUUAUUUUAUCUUAAAAUUUAAAAAUUUCAAAUCAUAUCAUUAGCUCUUUUUUUUUUCCCCUUAAUAAACAGGGCCUCUAUUGAUGAACGUAGCCAGCUUUUAAUAGGGUUCGAAAUAAAAGGGUGGAGUCAGUACAGUGUAAUCUGUGACUCUGUAAAAUCUCAGGCCCAAUAUUCUUCUCGGGAUUGAUGGUAAAAAAUAUAAAAAUACAAUUAAAAAAAAAUUAAUACAAAAAAAGAGACACCAUCGAGUUUUUACUAUAAAUACCAACCUCCCCUUCUCCUAAACCUACACCUCCACCCCCACCUCCACCUUCUCCGCCUCCUCCUCCUCCUCCUCUGCCUAACAGGCUAACCCUUUCUGCUGCUGCUUCUGCAUCUCCCCUUUUGGGGUUCUGCUCUUGCUGUCGUUCUCUGAUUGGCCGAAGCUUCGUAGCCAUCUUAUCUCUCUCUCUAGAUAUCCAUAGCCUUAGCGUUUCCCUCUCUUUCUUUCUCUAAAAUGGAUAGAAGAUGAUGAUCCUCUUUGUAUUCUUCCACAGCUUUCUUGAACUGCAUCCAUCUAUGGCGAGAUCGACCGAUCUUUGGAGUGAGUCGACUCAGUCUCUCUAUUCCCCUUAACUUGGUUUGCGGUUCAAUAAAGCUGUGGGAAGAUACAGAUAGGCUCAAUAAAAUUCGCUCACAUAAUGGAUCUCCAUUGUCCCUCAUAUCUUGCGGUGACAAAUUACAAUGCUGUUCUUUGAGGAGAAAUCUUCACCUGUUAACUCCCCCUCUCUCGGAUCGAGACUUCAGAGAACAUUCUUGAUAUGUAGUUCGAUCUCUGAUCCAUCUGUACUUUAUAUUCUGCUUAAUGAUUGAUAUAUUUUAUAUUAA
Long non-coding RNA from Pyrus x bretschneideri (Chinese white pear), 1025 nucleotides. RefSeq lists it as uncharacterized. NCBI's taxonomy places the organism in Eukaryota, Viridiplantae, Streptophyta, Magnoliopsida, Rosales, Rosaceae. The record is from RefSeq and is a predicted model, not a curated record. The transcript has 2 exons.